GGAAGGAUCAUUAUAGAAUCAAAAUAAAACGUGUGAAAGAAGAGAAGCCUCCCCCCAAAAAGGGGGGCUACGCGUCCCCUAUAGGCAGAUCCCUUUCUCACAAAACCGCGCAAACGGUUUAUCCUUGUUUAUGAGCACUCCUGUUUCCUCGGCGGGUUCGCCCGCCGAUGGACCCAUUGUUCAACGCUUAGGAUGCAACCAGUAUUGUCUGAGCUAUAUGCAAAAACAUCAAAACUUUCAACAACGGAUCUCUUGGUUCUGGCAUCGAUGAAGAACGCAGCGAAAUGCGAUAAGUAAUGUGAAUUGCAGAAUUCAGUGAAUCAUCGAAUCUUUGAACGCACAUUGCGCCCUUUGGUAUUCCGAGGGGCAUGCCUGUUCGAGCGUCAUUUUAGCCAUCAAGCUGCGCUUGGUGUUGGGCGUUUGUCCUGCCGUGGUGCAUGGACUCGCCUCAAAACAAUCGGCGGCCCGCGUUUCGCUUGUAGCACAGUAGACUGGUAGCUGCAAACACAACGAGCGUGCCUGCCGCAAUGCCAUUUUCUUCGGGUUGACCUCGGAUCAGGUAGGAAUACCCGCUGAACUUAAGCAUAUCAAUAAGCGGAGGAAAAGAAACCAACAGGGAUUGCCCUAGUAACGGCGAGUGAAGCGGCAACAGCUCAAAUUUGAAAUCUGGCUCUUUUAGGGUCCGAGUUGUAAUUUGUAGAGGGUGUUUCGGCGUUGGCCUUGGUCUAAGUUCCUGGAAUGGAAUGUCAUAGAGGGUGAGAACCCCGUCUUUGGCCAGUGGUCUUCGCCAUGUGAAACCCCUUCGACGAGUCGAGUUGUUUGGGAAUGCAGCUCUAAAUGGGAGGUAAAUUUCUUCUAAAGCUAAAUAUUGGCCAGAGACCGAUAGCGCACAAGUAGAGUGAUCGAAAGAUGAAAAGCACUUUGGAAAGAGAGUCAAACAGCACGUGAAAUUGUUGAAAGGGAAGCGCUUGCAGCCAGACGUACGUGCAGUCGCUCAUCUAGGCUUACGCCUGGUGCACUCGUCUGCAGGUAGGCCAGCAUCAGUUCGGGCGGUUGGAUAAAGGCCUUAGGAAUGUAGCUCUCUUCGGGGAGUGUUAUAGCCUGGGGUGUCAUGCAGCCAGCCUGGACUGAGGUCCGCGCUUCGGCUAGGAUGCUGGCGUAAUGGCCGCAAGCGGCCCGUCUUGAAACACGGACCAAGGAGUCUAACAUCUAUGCGAGUGUUUGGGUGUCAAGCCCGGGCGCGCAAUGAAAGUGAACGGAGGUGGGAACCCUUCGGGGUGCACCAUCGACCGAUCCUGAUGUCUUCGGAUGGAUUUGAGUAAGAGCAUAGCUGUUGGGACCCGAAAGAUGGUGAACUAUGCCUGAAUAGGGUGAAGCCAGAGGAAACUCUGGUGGAGGCUCGCAGCGGUUCUGACGUGCAAAUCGAUCGUCAAAUUUGGGCAUAGGGGCGAAAGACUAAUCGAACUAUCUAGUAGCUGGUUCCUGC
RNAcentral lists this unclassified non-coding RNA (1486 nucleotides) under uncultured Pleosporales. Its description in RNAcentral is "sequence contains 18S rRNA gene, ITS1, 5.8S rRNA gene, ITS2, 28S rRNA gene". The stretch from base 546 to 1486 matches the Rfam family "Eukaryotic large subunit ribosomal RNA", at positions 1 to 961 of the family's 3401-position model. The record is from RNAcentral. Lineage: Eukaryota; Fungi; Ascomycota; Dothideomycetes; Pleosporales.